RNAcentral lists this small RNA (364 nucleotides) under Histoplasma capsulatum. RNAcentral describes it as "hypothetical RNA". The record is from RNAcentral. Lineage: Eukaryota; Fungi; Ascomycota; Eurotiomycetes; Onygenales; Ajellomycetaceae. RNAcentral also lists the same sequence under 1 other name.
CCACCGUAGAUAAUAGUGUGGCCAAUUGCCGAUAUUCUGCCCUUUUAAGAGCGCUUGUUUUCUUCCACUGUUUUCUUGGAGUUUGACAAUGUCUCGUCGAACACUAUCCGGACUGUUCCUGAACAAGAAUACCUGACACAUAGCGUAAAACAUCACGACUGAAUCCCCUUAAUGGAAGUCGAACACGUUUCUUGAAGAUGUUGGAGUGGAGGGACACAAGUUAAGCCUAACUCCGAUAUAUCUGGAGCAAGAAGAUGGUGUUCCGUUGAACCGUUAAAAUAGAUCAGGGGGUUGUAAUUUCAUGCGAAAGGGAGAGAUACACUGCAACAACCCAGCCGAGUAUCAAUGUUGGUAAGUUGGCAGG